RNAcentral lists this ribosomal RNA (891 nucleotides) under uncultured bacterium. Its description in RNAcentral is "bacterial SSU rRNA". It matches the Rfam family "Bacterial small subunit ribosomal RNA", at positions 60 to 945 of the family's 1533-position model. The record is from RNAcentral.
AGUCGAGCGGAGAUGAGGUGCUUGCACCUUAUCUUAGCGGCGGACGGGUGAGUAAUGCUUAGGAAUCUGCCUAUUAGUGGGGGACAACAUUCCGAAAGGGAUGCUAAUACCGCAUACGUCCUACGGGAGAAAGCAGGGGAUCUUCGGACCUUGCGCUAAUAGAUGAGCCUAAGUCGGAUUAGCUAGUUGGUGGGGUAAAGGCCUACCAAGGCGACGAUCUGUAGCGGGUCUGAGAGGAUGAUCCGCCACACUGGGACUGAGACACGGCCCAGACUCCUACGGGAGGCAGCAGUGGGGAAUAUUGGACAAUGGGGGGAACCCUGAUCCAGCCAUGCCGCGUGUGUGAAGAAGGCCUUAUGGUUGUAAAGCACUUUAAGCGAGGAGGAGGCUACUGAGACUAAUACUCUUGGAUAGUGGACGUUACUCGCAGAAUAAGCACCGGCUAACUCUGUGCCAGCAGCCGCGGUAAUACAGAGGGUGCGAGCGUUAAUCGGAUUUACUGGGCGUAAAGCGUGCGUAGGCGGCUUUUUAAGUCGGAUGUGAAAUCCCCGAGCUUAACUUGGGAAUUGCAUUCGAUACUGGGAAGCUAGAGUAUGGGAGAGGAUGGUAGAGUUCCAGGUGUAGCGGUGAAAUGCGUAGAGAUCUGGAGGAAUACCGAUGGCGAAGGCAGCCAUCUGGCCUAAUACUGACGCUGAGGUACGAAAGCAUGGGGAGCAAACAGGAUUAGAUACCCUGGUAGUCCAUGCCGUAAACGAUGUCUACUAGCCGUUGGGGCCUUUGAGGCUUUAGUGGCGCAGCUAACGCGAUAAGUAGACCGCCUGGGGAGUACGGUCGCAAGACUAAAACUCAAAUGAAUUGACGGGGGCCCGCACAAGCGGUGGAGCAUGUGGU